This 344-nucleotide ribosomal RNA is filed under the name uncultured bacterium. Its description in RNAcentral is "bacterial SSU rRNA". It matches the Rfam family "Bacterial small subunit ribosomal RNA", at positions 8 to 334 of the family's 1533-position model. The record is from RNAcentral.
AGGGUUUGAUUCUGGCUCAGGAUGAACGCUGGCGGCGUGCCUAACACAUGCAAGUCGAGCGAAGCAAUUUCGCGGAAGUUUUCGGAUGGAAGUGGGAUUGACUGAGCGGCGGACGGGUGAGUAACGCGUGGGUAACCUGCCUCAUACAGGGGGAUAACAGCUAGAAAUGGCUGCUAAUACCGCAUAAGCGCACAGCUUCGCAUGAAGCAGUGUGAAAAACUCCGGUGGUAUGAGAUGGACCCGCGUCUGAUUAGGUAGUUGGUGGGGUAACGGCCCACCAAGCCGACGAUCAGUAGCCGACCUGAGAGGGUGACCGGCCACAUUGGGACUGAGACACGGCCCAA